UGGAGCAUGCGCAUAGUCAGGUGGAUUGUGGGUAUGCCUCCCGUGAGUGAUGGCCGGAAAAAAAAUGUCGGUCUCUCCCGUCCACAGGCGGCUAAUAGAAGGAUUAAUUUGGAUCAAACAUCACAUCUGAGUCACUUGAUUAAUUGUAACCUGAAUACCAAGGAAUUUCAAACAUGAAAGCAAAAAACACCAUUCACAGUGGGGAGAAACCAUACACCUGUGUGUGUGGGCGAGGCUUCAGUCGAUCAUCUGGUCUGUCAAGACACAAAUGGAGUCACAGCAAGGAGAAACCCUGGAAAUGUCAGGAUUGUGGAAAGGGAUUCAGAUUCCCAUCUGAGCUGGAAACACAUUAUCGCAGUCACACUGGAGAGAGACCUUUCACUUGCCCUGACUGUGGGAAGGGGUUUACAAAUUCUUCUGACCUGCAUACACACCAACGAGUUCACACUGGGGAGAAACCAUUCACCUGCUCUCAGUGUGGGAAGGGAUUCACUCAGUCGUCUGGCCUGCAGAUACACCAGCGGGUUCACACUGGGGAGAGGCCAUUCACCUGCUCUGUCUGUGGGAAGAGUUUCACUAAUUCUUCUGAUCUGCUGAAACACAAGUUGGUUCACACUGGGGAGAGUCGGUUCACCUGUUCAGAGUGUGGAAAAGGAUUCACUAAUUCUUCCAGCCUGCGGAUACACCAGCGAGUUCACACUGUGGAGAGACCAUACACCUGCUCUGAAUGUGGGAAGGGAUUCACUAAUGUUUCCAACCUGCAGAUACACCAGCGAGUUCAUACAAAUGAGAGACCAUUCACCUGCUCUCAGUGUGGGAAGGGAUUCAGAGAUUCUUCCAACCUGAUGUCACAUCAACGUGUUCACACUGAUGAGAGACCAUUCAGAUGCUCCCUAUGUGACACGAGGUUUAGUCGUUUAUCUGACCUCACUAGACACCAGCGGACUCACACACAGGAGAGACCAUUUACCUGCCCUGAGUGUGGGAAAGGGUUCACUCAGUCAUCUGGUCUGCUGAUACACCGGCGAAUUCACACAGCAGAAAGGCCAUUUACCUGCUCUGAGUGUGGGAAGGGAUUCAGUGAUUCAUCGAACCUUCGCACUCAUCAGCGAGUUCACAGUGAUGAGAGACCAUUCAGAUGCUCCCAUUGUGUGUCUCGGUUCAAACGUUUAUUUGAACUCACCAGACACCAGCGGACUCACACGAGGGAGAAACCAUUCACCAGACCUUAGUGUGGGAAGCAGUUGACUCAGUUAUCCAUCCCACUGAGAAACCAGGGAAUACCUAGGCAGCUCCAGAUGGAGGUGAAGGCCAUUCUCGAUUAGGACAUCAGUGAACCACGCCAGAGUGAGUGGAGUUCGCCGAUCAGCUUACUUCCCAAAAAGACAGGACACAACAAUUCUGCACGAAUUAUUGGAAAGUCAACGUCAUUAAAACAUUGGACUCAUAUCUAAUUCCUCGACUGGAGGACUGUAUCGAGAAAGUCAGACAAGCCAAUUACAUCACCAAGUUGGACUUCAUGCUUCGUUGCUGGCAAUUAUCUUUAUUAGAGAUGGCAAAAGAAAUUUAUGUGUCUGAUGCCCUUUGGAAUGAAGACCGCACCUGCCGCAUUCCAAAGACUCAUGAACCGAGUUGUGGCUGUGUUUACAAACCGUGCAGUCUAUUUGGACCAUGUAGUGAUCUUUAAUCAGUCCUGGAAAGAUUACAUGGUAGAGUUGGCAGAGAGUUUAGAUGAGAUUUGCCUUUAUUUAUAUAUAUAAAUGGGAAGAGGUUAAGGUGAACUUAUACUAAGGUUAUCUGUAUGUUAAAGUAACGUGUUUAAAAUAUAAAGAAAACACUGAAGCCAUCUUUUCCUUAUGAUGGUCCAUCAUUACCUUCGGGGGAGGUGUUCUGAAAAUGUGGGUUUACUGUACCUUUAAGAGAGCUAAAAUCUAGAAAGUACUAUCUGACAUAACCAAGUGUUCUCAAUAAGAUACACCAUAAAAGGUGCUCCAGCUACUGGGGUAGGUGGUGUUGCUGGUUGCCUGGAAGUGAUGAACAGAUUUGAAUUAGGCCAAUCAGUUUGAAUUAUGCCUUGAAAAAUACCAAACUCCAAUCCAAUUUGAAUUUAGUAUAUUGACAAUCUUAAAGGUCAAUGACACAAUUCAAUGUAUUGGUGGUAUAAGACGAGGGAGAAUUAAACAGUUGAGAGGAGAUCUGCCAUGUAAAAAGACUCCAUGAAGAAUAGCUCUCUAAAAAGUACCUUUAUAGAUCAGUAACCCGUGAAGCAGAAUCCCCAAGAAGAAAAGAAGACCGAAAUACAGAGAAACACGAAAGCUGCCUGGUUUU
Non-coding RNA from Chiloscyllium plagiosum (whitespotted bambooshark), 2328 nucleotides. Lineage: Eukaryota; Metazoa; Chordata; Chondrichthyes; Orectolobiformes; Hemiscylliidae. The record is from RefSeq and is a predicted model, not a curated record.